GUGGGGAAUAUUGGACAAUGGGCGAAAGCCUGAUCCAGCCAUGCCGCGUGUGUGAAGAAGGUCUUCGGAUUGUAAAGCACUUUAAGUUGGGAGGAAGGGCAGUAAGUUAAUACCUUGCUGUUUUGACGUUACCAACAGAAUAAGCACCGGCUAACUUCGUGCCAGCAGCCGCGGUAAUACGAAGGGUGCAAGCGUUAAUCGGAAUUACUGGGCGUAAAGCGCGCGUAGGUGGUUCAACAAGUUGAAGGUGAAAUCCCCGGGCUCAACCUGGGAACUGCCUCCAAAACUACUGAGCUAGAGUACGGUAGAGGGUAGUGGAAUUUCCUGUGUAGCGGUGAAAUGCGUAGAUAUAGGAAGGAACACCAGUGGCGAAGGCGACUACCUGGACUGAUACUGACACUGAGGUGCGAAAGCGUGGGGAGCAAACAGGAUUAGAAACCCCAGUAGUCC
Molecule: ribosomal RNA, 450 nt
Filed under: uncultured bacterium
Lineage: Bacteria
Description: bacterial SSU rRNA
Rfam family: Bacterial small subunit ribosomal RNA
Source: RNAcentral